This 461-nucleotide ribosomal RNA is filed under the name uncultured bacterium. RNAcentral's name for it is "partial 16S ribosomal RNA". It matches the Rfam family "Bacterial small subunit ribosomal RNA", at positions 29 to 507 of the family's 1533-position model. The record is from RNAcentral.
ACGAACGCUGGCGGCGUGCUUAACACAUGCAAGUCGCGCGGAAAGGCCCUUCGGGGUACUCGAGCGGCGAACGGGUGAGUAACACGUGAGUAACCUGCCCCAGACUUUGGGAUAACCCUCGGAAACGGGGGCUAAUACCGGAUACGACACAGCUUCGCAUGGGGUCUGUGUGGAAAGUUUUUCGGUUUGGGAUGGGCUCGCGGCCUAUCAGCUUGUUGGUGGGGUGAUGGCCUACCAAGGCGACGACGGGUAGCCGGCCUGAGAGGGCGACCGGCCACACUGGGACUGAGACACGGCCCAGACUCCUACGGGAGGCAGCAGUGGGGAAUAUUGCACAAUGGGCGGAAGCCUGAUGCAGCGACGCCGCGUGAGGGAUGACGGCCUUCGGGUUGCAAACCUCUUUCAGCAGGGACGAAGCGUAAGUGACGGUACCUGCAGAAGAAGCGCCGGCCAACUACGUG